GGUAAUGUGGCUUAGUGGUAGAGUGCUUGCCUAGCGUGCAUGAGGCUCUGGUUUUGAUUCCUCAGUACCA
This 70-nucleotide transfer RNA is filed under the name Dipodomys ordii (Ord's kangaroo rat). It matches the Rfam family "tRNA". From Rfam's summary of the family: Transfer RNA (tRNA) molecules are approximately 80 nucleotides in length. Their secondary structure includes four short double-helical elements and three loops (D, anti-codon, and T loops). Further hydrogen bonds mediate the characteristic L-shaped molecular structure. tRNAs have two regions of fundamental functional importance: the anti-codon, which is responsible for specific mRNA codon recognition, and the 3' end, to which the tRNAs corresponding amino acid is attached (by aminoacyl-tRNA synthetases). tRNAs cope with the degeneracy of the genetic code in two manners: having more than one tRNA (with a specific anti-codon) for a particular amino acid; and 'wobble' base-pairing, i.e. permitting non-standard base-pairing at the 3rd anti-codon position. The record is from Rfam by way of RNAcentral. Lineage: Eukaryota; Metazoa; Chordata; Mammalia; Rodentia; Heteromyidae.